Pelobates cultripes (western spadefoot toad) is the source of this 208-nucleotide non-coding RNA. The record is from the annotation of a GenBank genome assembly. Lineage: Eukaryota; Metazoa; Chordata; Amphibia; Anura; Pelobatidae.
AGCAUGUUCAUGUUCUGUUUAACCACAAUCAUUAGCACUUAAUGAAUAAUAAUCUGUAUCACUAGUAUUAGAGUUUUUCAUUUAUUCACAUCCCUGGGGAAAACUGAAACUGAAGUGAGAAAAACAAAAUUAAGAUUUUUAAACCCAGAAGUGUUACUUACUUUGGAUGUAUUUAUAUUAAAAUAUCGCAGAUGUCCCAUAGCAUAUG